This 250-nucleotide ribosomal RNA is filed under the name uncultured bacterium. RNAcentral describes it as "partial 16S ribosomal RNA". It matches the Rfam family "Bacterial small subunit ribosomal RNA", at positions 524 to 776 of the family's 1533-position model. The record is from RNAcentral.
UACAGGGGGUGCAAACGUUGCUCGGAAUCAUUGGGCGUAAAGCGCACGUAGGCGGUUCGUUAUGUCGGAUGUGAAAGCCCUUGGCUUAACCGAGGAAGUGCAUCCGAAACUGGCGAGCUAGAGUACUAAAGAGGAUCGCGGAAUUCCGGUGUAGAGGUGAAAUUCGUAGAUAUCGGAGGAACACCAAUGGCGAAGGCAGCUCGCUGGGACGUACUGACGCUGAGGCGCGAAAGCGUGGGGAGCAAACAGG